AGUCGUAACAAGGUAACCGUAGGUGAACCUGCGGUUGGAUCAUUACUAAAAUGAGUGAGUGGAGAGUAAGGGUUUACCCUUACUCGACUCUCAUACCAUAGAGAAACCUCCCCUUAGCUUGCUAAGGAAGGCGACUCGCAACCCCCUUACCAUGUAGUUCAGUCUAAUUAAGUAUGGGAUGGACAUCUCCCCCCUAAGCUCUUUUUGCUUUUUCCCUUACCGGAAGAGUUUAAAGGCAAGCUUUUUGGGGCCCAUCCCUGCCAAUGAGUUAUAUACAUUGUCAACCUUUAAAGUGCCUUUGCAUUUUUGUUACUCUUUGCUAAGGGGGGGAAAGGUAAGCUUUUGGGCUUACCCCUCAACCUUAACAACUAUUACAAAACGAAUAAGCAAACAACUUUUGACAACGGAUCUCUUGGCUCUC
RNAcentral lists this unclassified non-coding RNA (421 nucleotides) under fungal sp. RNAcentral describes it as "partial internal transcribed spacer region". The stretch from base 1 to 45 matches the Rfam family "Eukaryotic small subunit ribosomal RNA", at positions 1787 to 1831 of the family's 1831-position model. Lineage: Eukaryota; Fungi. The record is from RNAcentral.